Long non-coding RNA from Myotis lucifugus (little brown bat), 781 nucleotides. RefSeq lists it as uncharacterized. The transcript is spliced from 4 exons. Lineage: Eukaryota; Metazoa; Chordata; Mammalia; Chiroptera; Vespertilionidae. The record is from RefSeq and is a predicted model, not a curated record.
GGGCGCGGAACACGUGCGAAGCCGCAGCCUGGACUGCGCUCCGGGCAGCUCCCGGAGGUGCCUCUCCAGUGUGUUCUCUGCGCGCUUUCCUUCUGCCCUGCGGAGGGUUAGUCAUGGACUUUGCCUGCGGUUUGGACUUUGGACUGUGUCGCUUUGUGUUUAUAAAUGUGAGGUGCUGAGAAGCUCAUUGGAAGAUUCUCUGUGAGUGAAUGGGGCUCUGCAAAUGUUUGGGGCCCAGCCAUUUCACUGGAAGGAUCUGUAAGUCCUUUCUCCUAGGCCCUUUGCUUUUAUUGAAGAGGAAUCCUGCCUGGAAAGAUGUCCCUGUUGACUGUCACCCCGGCAUCGGUACCAAGUUGCUGUUCCAGUGCAUGAAGGCCCUUAUCUGCAGGAAGAAGCAACGUCCAGGAAGCGGUGUUCAGAGACCUGUCUGGCACACAAACAGGCAUCUUUAAAAGGGAGAACCUCUUUUCGCCAGAGCGAUCCCUGCGGAAAGCAGCUUUCAGUAGAGCUAAAAGGAACACACCCUGGGGCAGCUCUGCUUUGAACGUUGCUGUCCAUUUAAUAAACAGCCCUUCUCUUCUGACCAGCGCCUUCGCCUUCCAGCACCAGGAACAGCAAGCAGCAGGACUGAGUAUAAACACUUGGAAGACAAAGAAAACCUUUGAAGCUUCCAGGAAAGUCAACCCAGUCCCUGACAUAUCUGCUCCGAUAUUAGAGUCUGAGUUGCUGGAGUUACUUGUCUGGUAUCUUUUAUGAGCACUGCUUGUACACAAAAUAGUCU